AUAAAAACACAAACAUGACUGUUAAUAAAUUAAGCAAUAGAACGCAAUCAAUCUAACACGAAUUAAAUUUAAGCCAUUUUAAUUAAAUCAAGAGUAACGAAAUGAUGAGCAUUCAUCAUAACAGAGUCAAGAAAAUAAAAGAGUAGGGAACUAGAAAAAAAUUCAGUGUCUCUCUGAAGUCACUAACACGCUCCUUUUCUUCUUUGCUCGUUCUGUUAAUUCGAGACCUCUAUGAAUACUUGAGUGCUACUACUCCAAGGUGGAAGAAAUAUCUUUCUCAAGAGGACAAAUCGGCAAAGGAAGGGACAAGAAAGAAAAUGGAAAACAAAGGGAGAAAAUUGAGUAAAUAGAGAAUGUGUUGUGAAUGAAUUGAGUUGAGUUGAGUUGAGUUCUGAAAUGAGUAACAAAGGGAGGUAUUUAUAGGUGGGUUGGCUACUAAUUUUAGCAAAGAAAUAUCAGCCAUUAAAUCCCCCAUGGCUGGCCACCACUCAUGCAUUUGUUAAUGAUUUCAACUUGUUAUAUUUGGCUAGGGGCAAAUCUACAAAAGCAUAAUAAGUGGAGGAGUUUGAAUGCAAUUUCAAGGAGACUUCAAGGGCUGAUUUGCAAGUCAGUAAAUAAGCUGAUUUGAGCUGAUUGGGUCAGCAUUUUGGAUGGGUUUGGGCAACUCGAUUGCUCAUUUGGAUCAGUCUUUCGUAUUAGCACAACUCGGACUCAUUUCCAUAAUAUAUUCAAUAAUAAUUACUUAACCCAAAAUAAAUUGGAAUAAAAUUAAAAUUAAUUGUAUUAUGUACUUUUAUUCAUAAUUUGGAUCGUUUUAGGCUAAAAAAUUAAUUCGCCUCAACGCUUCAGAAAUAGCUUCACGAUUUGAGCUUCUAGUAGUGUCUGUUGAGCCAAUUUUCACCCUUUGUGCUAAUCUGUCGAAAAUAAAUCAAAAUUUAUGAAAAUUUUAUUAUAAAAUUAAUUAAAAUUUGAUAUGUUAAUAAUUUAAGUACAAUUUAAUUAUUUUAUAAUUAUAUUAUAUUUUUCAACAACAAUUACUACGAAACUGCAUGAAUUUUAGUUAAAAAUGGCAUAAAAAUGUCAUAUAUUUUUGUAUUUCCACACCCCCAAACUUAAUUCAUUGCUUGUUCCGAGUAAUGCACAAAUUGAAAAGAAUAUCUUGGAAACACCUUUGAAAAAUUCCUUCAGAAAACAUUCUUCCCAUAAUAUGAAGUUAGUAUACUUAUGCUCAAGAACAAAAAAUUUUGAGAUUUAUGCCACUUAAGUAUACAUAUCAUUCAAAUUAAUCUAAAUUAUUAUUAUGAUAGAAAAAAUAGACUAUAUGCUUUCUCAAUAAAGACAUGUUAAAUCCCUACCAAUUUGAUUUUAUUCCCUUAUUUAAGAUUAAGUUGCAAUCAUUAAGUUUAAUUUAUGCCUUUAUAUGUUGAACAUAGCAAUUUCUCUCCAAUAAUGCAGGUAGCACAGAAACUUUAACCAAUAGGUCUUUUAAAUAGGUUGUAGCAUGGCUAGGCUAGGGGUAGGUAAAAGAUAGAUAAAUUUAGGCUAAAAACCCUAGGCUCAGCUUUUAUCGGACCUUCGGAAUAAUUACCUCCAAUACACCAACUCAUUUUGCUUUUACCAGCUCUUUUGUACAUCUAUUUCUUUCGAGUACAUAUGCUCUCUCUUUUUUGAGCAUUUGGUACUCCUUUUCAACUCCCCCAAACUUAUUUUCAAAGAAUAUUCUAAAUACAUUGAUUCUAGUGUUUGGGAUAAUUUAAAGAUAAUUAUGGGAGAAGAGAUGGCUAAAUAUUGCAAAUGUUCAAAUAAAAUUAGGCCAUUUAAUCUCAAAGUUGGGUUUCAAGGGAUAAAUAUUCAUCAUGGUUGGCUUGAAAGGCUCAAACAGUUCAAACAAAAGUUUGCCUAAAUCAUUUUCAACAUUUCAUGCUUCUUAGGAUUUCGUCUCAAGAAAUUACUAAGUCAAUUCUAGAGACUUAAACUUUCACGGAUGCCUAGCUUUCCUAAGGAACUAAAAUUUGAUGCUAUGAUUUACAUACUUUAUUAAGAGUACAUUUAUGUCAUAAUGCAGCUAACAUAACAAUCAUUGAGAUAAAAGAACUUUAUUCAUACUGAAGUUUAACAUACCUAACAAAAUUUCAAAUUUUUGAACAAAAUAUAACUAACCAUAAUUAAAAGAAAAUUUUAUUCUGAGAAGAAAUGAUUUCAAUUUUUUGGUCCCCGUACUUAAGAUGAACAAUGUCCUCAUUGUUAGAAGUGAAUAGACACUAUACACCAGGUAGGAUUCUAUAAAAGAGGAGGUGAGUCAAUUUGACUACUUAAGUACCAAACUCUCUUUAGAUUGAAUCCUAGACAUGUACAUAUAUAUUGCCACACUUCUUAUUUUGUAACUUGUUCAUUUUUAUUUAUGAUUUCCACCUCUUAUUUUAUUAUGUGAGAAAUAAAAGUCCUAAUAGAACCUAAUCCUAAAAACAUUAAAUAUCCUAGGAAAGAAAAUAAUAUAAAGUAAAGAUCCCCCAUUCUUUUUUAUUUGUAGAUCCAUCAGAAUCUGACUCAUCUUUUGCUCUAUCGUUUUUGUUUUUGCAUGAAUCACUUCGUUCCCUCUUUGAUAUUAGGCUCCAUGGUUCAAAUAUAAAAUCUGGAAACUUGGGCACAAAAAUAAAUGAGUCAUGAAAUAUUUUCGUAAAAGCACUUCUCAUUGAGUCAUCCUAUAUUUUUUAAAAUCUCAAGUAAGCUUGUUGCUGCCACUGCAUAUGUUACAUUAUGUCCAUCAACUUUUACAGCUUAUCACAAGGAUCUGGGCUAGGCGAUUGAGCUCUGAAUGUUGAGGUCACCAUGUCAAGUUCAGUUAUUGGUUCAAUUGAUUCUUCCUUAUUAGGGAUUUCAGCUGACUGCAUUGGUUCGAUCUCUGUGGGAUGUUCUUCUUCUUCUUCGGGAUCCUCGCUCAAUUCAACUCGUUGCUGCAAAAUAGAAUCUCCUCCUAUUUGGCAGAGGUCCCAAUCUGUGAUUGUGCCUUGGCUAUAACUUGUCUUCUUUAUGUUUGUAAGAAUUUUAGCUUUCAAGCACAAAAUUGUUAUCGUAAAGGGAAAGUAUGCUGGGCCAGAACGUCUAGCGGCACAAUUUCAAAUUUCUCUUAGAAUGAUCUUUCCCACAUCAAUGGUCUUUGCCGUUAAAAUCGAGUAUAACAAGACCAUUUGCUCAAAUGAAAUUGUGGUCUCAUGUGAAAUAGGCAUAAGGUUGAUUCGAAUGAAAUAGAACCAUACCUUCGCUAAUGGUGUUAAAUAUUCUCUACGAAAAAUGUGAGAUCCAUGCUUUGACAUAGUCUACUUAGAACUCGGAACUGUAAGUUCCUCGAGAAUUUCUUGCAAUUUUUCAGCCUCAAUAUUUCUCAUCAAAGAAGAAUAUUCGUCGUCUUCAAAAUAAGGUAAUUCAAAGAAUUCAUUAAUAGCGUUUGAGCUUAUUGGUACCUUGAUUCCUCAAGUAGAAACUUUCGUUAAUUCACUUGAGGUCAAAUUCAUAUGAAAUCUUCAUCUAAGAUUUGCCGAGUCAAUUUUCACCCUUUGUACAAAUUUUUCGAAAAUAAAUCAAAAUUUAUGAAAAAUUUAUUAUAAAAUUAAUUAAAAUUCAAUAUGUUAAUCAUUUAAGUAAAAUUUAAUUAUUUUAUAAUUAUAUUAUAUCUUUUGACAAGAAUUACUACGAAACCACAUGAAUUUGAGUUAAAAAGGGCAUGAAAAAGUCUAUAAUUUUUUGUUUUUCUAACCCCAUAUUUGAAAGGACAAAAAAGAGGGUGGAAAAGUUGAAUGAUGCGGUAUUAAAAUUAGGAAAUCAUUUAGCAGCCCGUUUUAAAAAAAUUAAUUUUCAAAUGGGGGAAGUUCAGGGCGUAAUGGAGUUCUUAUUUGGAAUGGUGGUAGGUCUUCUGGUUCUAAAUGACGUAUCCCAAGAGUCAAAGGUGGCUAAAUUCGUAAUGGAAGGAGGCUUAAUCAGACAAUUUAAUAUCGUGGGGAGCGUUUUAAAUUAGCAAAUGUUCCCAAGGCUCCCUUAGUUGACUAGAUGAAUUCGAUAGUGGAACUUAUUAGUCCUUAAUUGAACACUGAAGCGAGAAAAAUGGUUGCUAGCCCAGGGAGAAAGCCUUUUGAUAAGCCCAGGAUCUCAAAGUAGUAAAGGUUAGUUUACUCUUUCUAUCUUUAUUUAUCAAUUUUUUCUUCAAACUGUCAGGGUUGUGCAAGUGUUAAAUUUUUGCGGAUUUGUUGUGAGUAAGGAAUAUAAUUCGGAUAUUGUUAGUUUGCUUGAGAUAAGGACUACUGGUGAAAAGGAAGAUAAAAUUAUUGCUAAGCUAGGAUUCCAUAAUUCUCACUGAGUGGAGGCAAUCAAUUUUUUUGGUGGUAUUUGGGUCAGCUGGAAAGAGUCAGUUGAAGUUGACAUUUUAAGCAACCAUCUCAAUUUACCUUUUUAUAGGUUUCUGAAGGUAUAAACUCCCAACCUAUUCUCAUUGCGUUGGUUUACGAAAGUCCUGGUUGAUAGAAAAAGAAUAAUCUCUAGAAGGAUCUUAAAUUGAUAAUCUCGAUGAGCUCUAUUCUAUGGCUUGCAAUUGGUGACUUCAAUGUUAUCCUUUCUCCCAAUGAAAAGUCAGAUGAUCAUUCGGAAAGGAAGAGAUGUUCGCUUUUUUGUAAAUUUAUUGAGGAAGUUGAUUUGCAAGAUCUGAAGUUCAGAGGCCCCUCCUUUACCUGGCAUAGGGGGAGGCAUUUUUGAACGGUUGGACAGAGUAAUAAAAAAUUUUGCUUGGGGAAAUGCUUUUCCCAAUUUUUCAACCACUCAUCUCUCUAAGUUGAAAUUUGACCACAAACCAUUAUUGCUCUUUCUUAGGCCAAAGAUCAAUAUGUCUAGGGGACAUCUAUUCAGAUUCUUGGCCAAUUGGGCGGAGCAUCCUAGUUUCUCUAAUUUCGUUAGAGAUAAUUGGAAUUUUAAUGGUAAGAUGGUCAAAAAUCUUUUUAAGUUCACCACGAACAUCAAAUAUUGGAAUAAGUUGGUGUAAGGAUACCUAGAUGUUCAUAAAAGACAGUUGACUCAAAAACUUGAAUUCAAAAAGCUCAAGAAAAGUCAUAUUUUGACUAUCUAGCCUAGUUAGAAUCUUAGGUUCAAGAGGAAAAUGAAAAUGUCAUUCAUCAUGAACAAUUACUGUGGAAGCCAAAGGCUAGGAGAUCAUAAUAUUAAGUUUUUUUAUUCCUUCAUACUGCUUAGAAGGAAGAAUAAUUGGAUCAAGAGUCUAAAGAAUGACAACGGAUAUUUGACAUAAGAUGAGGAAGAACUUUAAGAAGAAUCUACUAAGUUUUUUAAAAAAUUGUACGGUGAAAAUCCAGGCCAAAUGCCAGAAUUACCGAAUAAUUCCUUUCUGAAACUGAAUCACAGUGAUACUCUAUUUUUGGGAAAAAAAUUCUCAAAGGAUGAGGUAAAGGAAGUUUUGUUUGAUAUAGCCCCUUUAAAAGCUCUCGGAAGUGAUGGUUUUCACUCUUCUUUCUGAGCCAGUGGGACUUGGUUGGUGAUGUCAUUUGUGAUUAGAUUCAAAAGGUCUUUGCUAGGCACGCCAUUGAUCCCAAGUUAAAUAACUCAUUGAUAUUUCUUAUACCGGAAGUGCCUAAUUUGAAAGCUACGCCCAAUUUAGACCGUUAAGCUUAUGGCCAAUUUUUUUAGAAAUUGGUUAUGAAAGUCAUUUCUAAUGGGUUCAAUAUGGUUUUCCCUAAAAUCAUUGUGCCAAAGUAAACAGGUUUCAUUGCAGGCAGAAACAUUACUGAUAACAUUGUUGUGGCUCAAAAAGUUAUUCAUUCCAUGAGAAGCAAACAAAAAAAUAAUAGGUGGUUGGCUAUUAAGAUAGAUUUGAAAAAUGCCUAUGAUAGGGUAAGAUGGGAUUUUAUCAAUGCAUCUCUUCAAGCAACAGGUAUUCUUGAUUUCCUUUGAAACGUUAUCAUGUCUACCAUCAUGAGUUCUACUAUGCAGAUAAUGUGGAAUGGGGUGCCAACGCAAAAAUUUCAUCUUGCAAAAAGGGUUAGACAAGGAUGUCUUCUAUUGUCGUACCUAUUUAUCUUAUGUAAGGAAUGGCUUGGGCAUUGUAUUAAGUCAAAUAUUAACUCUGGGCAAUGGCAUCCUAUACGUUUUUCGCGAUCGAGUCCAACACUAUCACAUAUGUUUUUUAUAGAUGAUUUGGUCAUUUUUGGUUAAGCUGACAUGCAACAGGUAAGUUUGAUUAAGAAAAUUUUAGAUAAUUUUUGUGCUUUUUCAGGGUAUCGGAUCAAUGCUUCCAAGAUUAAUAUGGUCUUCUCUAAUGGGGUUGAGAGAGAAUAUGGAAGGAAACUGUGCUAUAUUUUUGGAUUUCAUACGACGCAGAACCUUGGAAGAUAUCUCGGAGUCCCUCUAUUUCAUGAAAGGGUAACAAACAAUUCCCUGAGGUUUAUAGUGGACAAGGUUUGAAGCAAGCUUCAGAGUUGGGAUACAAGGAAAUUAUCUAUUAUGGAUGGAGUUACUCUAGCCCAAUCAAUUCUUUUAUCCAUUCUGAGUUUUUUAACGUUGUCCAUAAUGAUCCCUCAAGGGUUGUGCGAGGAGAUCGAAUGUUUGGUGCAGUAGUUUAUUUGGGGGUCGUUUAGGGGUAACAGGAAGACACCCUUGGUGAAAUGGUAGGAGAUUUGUAAACUGUCAACCAAAGGCUUGUGGUGGAUUGGGGUUUCGAUAACUGAAAGACCAAAAUAAUUCAUUUAUCCUGAAACUGGAUUUCAAUAUAGUUUUUAACACAGAUUAUAUAUGGGUUCGGGUCCUCAGAUCUAAGUAUGCUAUCAAAGGAGGUAUCCUAGAAGACAUAUUUCGUAGCAAGUCUUCCUUCCAUUGGAGGUCUCUUUCUAGAAUAUGGCCUUUGCAUCAGGAUAGCUUAUUUUGGUCAGUUGGUAAUAGGGAAAUUAUUAGAUGCUAGAAGGACAAGUGGAUACCAAAAAUUAGUCCUCUGGUUAAUCACAUUCCAUCUCACGCUAAUAUGGACUUAGAUUGUCCCCUUAGUGAGUUGGUGACUGAAGAUAAUUUAUGGAAUAUAGAUUUGUUUCAAAUCCAGCUGUCAAAUGAUGUCAUUAGGCAUAUUGUAAGCAUUCCUCCUCUUCACCCUUUAGUCGGUCUGAAUAUUGUCAUUUGGGUUGGGGUUGCAUCAAAGACUUUCUUUAUUAAGAGUGUUUACCGAAUGCUUAGAUAAGAGACAUUGAAUUUGAAUGAUAAUGCUUAGAAGGUGGUAUGCAAAUUCCCGGGACCACAAAGGGUUCGUAUGUUUCUUUGGCUUGCCUUUAAAGAGAGGCUACUCACACAGGUAGAAGGAAAAAUACGAGGUAUAGGGGAUGAUGAGCAUUGCACGGUAUGCAAGAGUGCACCAAAAGAUGCCAUUCAUGCCAUAAUAGAUUGUUUCACUACGAAAGGAGUGUGGUCUAAGCUCAUACCAGUGAAAAAACAUGGUGUUUUCUUUUCAGGUAAUGUGACGCCUGAAUUUUGGGCCUAGAAGUAUUGGGCCUUGAGCUUGGAAGUGGAUAGGAGGCUGCUCUUAGAUAUUUUAUUUGUGCAAGUGAGUAACACAAUUGCAUGUUUGGUUCAGUGGCUAAGUGAUUUGAGUGUAUUUGGGAGUGCUUGAGAAGUCUGGGCUCAAGUUUGGCCUUUGGCAAAAUUUUACUUUUUGAGCUCUUAAGGGAACUUAGAUGUUAGCUUACAGGAUUUAUAAUUAUUUGUGGUUGUUUUAUGACACAAAUAGAGGGGAUGGUCUAGUGGCAAGGUGGCAUGUUGUUUUUGGUAAGGGCUGGAGUUCGAGUCUUACUGUAUGCAAAUGGGAUUAUAUAUUUUGCUCAUGAGGAGGUAAGAGUUGGUGUUGGAUUUGAACUCUAUUGUUGGAGCGUUUGAAUUGGUCUUGUAAGUUGGUUGUAGAGGAUAUCAAGGAGGGAUAAGGGGAGAAAAUCAAGGAGAGGGGGUAGAGAUUUUCAAGGAGUUUGAAGGCUUGAGUAGUUGUGCCGAAAUAGGUUUCUUGCUCUUGGAAAUUCGACUAGGGGCUUUUGUUAGAUAUAUCCGAAGUGCCGGAGUGGUUUUCUUGGCUGGCUCUUUUGUGUGUUGUCGUUUGGUUUGUCCUUUUCAGCUUUAGUUUUGUUUCUUUUCUCUAAAAGAAACCGAAUACUAUUUCUUCUCUGCUUGAAACUUCCUACUCAUCUAUUCUUUAAUCACUUUCUGCUAUAGCCGACCCUCUCUUUUACUUUCAUCUCUACUUCUUUUCCAAUUCUGUUUUUCCUUUCUCUGUUGGACCGAAUUCUCAUACCUUCUACAUCUCAAAUCUUUUUGUUUUUCUUGUUUCGGGUCGAAUCUUCCUGACUAACUAUUGCCGAAAUACGUUUGUUUUAUUGGUAAGGGGGUGUUACAACCACUUUAUUAUUUCGUUCUUAGUCAAAUUUCUUUUGGCUCUAUUAACAAGCUUCGGUUUUCCUUUUCUUUCUCUUGGGUGCCGAAUGUAUGGUUGUUUUCUAACAACUUUUGAUCUGGCGAAUCAUGUUAGGAGGGGGGAUUCGCCCUUAAUCAGCAGUGAGACGCUAGUAUCUGUUAGAUCUAGCAAGGUGGGUGUUUGUGGUUUAGUAAAUAAAGUUUAUGGAUUAAGAGUAUGUGUUAAUCUUGUGUUGCGUUGGUUAUAGGUUUAUUGCUCCAUAUUAUUCGCAGUCUUCAUUGUUGUAAUAAGGUGUGUAUUUGUAUGCGGUAUUCGAUGAUCAGCUGAAAAACCUAAAGUAUGUGUUGCUACACUACUAUGACUGUAGAUCGGCAAAAUGCCAAAAAGUCAGAAAUAUGGCUAUAAUGUCACACGAGCGUGCGAUCGUGCGUAUGGUGAACUGAGCCCACGAAUAUGGGUGUUAGUUUGUAGAGGUCACCACAAGUGCUCUCGUGGUCUUGGGCUGUUUUGGGCCUCAUUGGGCCAAAAUGGGCUGUGUGGGCCCAGUGGGCUUGUGGGCCACACAGAUAAAAUGUAUGUGAUGUGGUAAGUGUUGUUAGACUGUGACGUUUGCAUAGUUGGGGCCGUUAUGGGCCUCGAUGGGUCGAAAUGGGCCGCGUGAACCCGAUGGGCUUGUGGGCCACACGGGUAAAAUCCUCGAUAAGUGAUCAUUGAUAGGUUGGUUUUUGAGGCUCGCGAUGCCGUAUACGAAUCUGGACUAAAUGGGUCAUACGAGCGUGUAGGCCCACUUGGGACCAAUAGCGAGUUUUAGGCCCAUAUACACUGUUCUGGCCUUGUAGGUUAUCUAAGUCACUCGAAGGGACGAUAGACCUUUUAGGAGGUCGUAAUAAGUACCGAGACCCCAAUAUUUGUAAAAUGACCAUAAUACCCCUAUAGGGUAAAAUGACCGAAAAACCCACAUAGCGUAAAAUGACCGUAAUGCCCCUGUAAGGUAAAAAUGACAGUAAUGCCCCUAUAGGGUAAAAUGACCGAAAAGCCCCCAUAAGGUAAAAUGACCGUAAUGCCCUCGUAGGGUAAAAUGACCGUAAUGCCCCUGUAAGGUAAAAUAACCGUAAUACCCCUGUAGGGUAAAAUGAUCGAAAAACCCUCAUAGGGUAAAAUGAUCGUAAUGCCCUUGUAGGGUAAAAUGACUGAAGUACCCCUGUAAGGUAAAAUGACCAUAAUGCCCCUAAAGGGUAAAUGACUAUUUUGCCCCUCGAGUGUAAAUGAUUUAUUUUUCCGUGAUGUAAAUGACUGAUUUUUUUGUGAUUUAAAUGACUGAUUUGUUUGUGAUUGGUAUGACUGAUUUGUCUAUGAUUUGUAUGACUGAUUCUGAGUAUGGCAUUUUGCAUACACGACAUACUGCAUGGGGUUAGGAUACUACCACAAUCACUGUUACUGGUGGCUUGGCCACAUAUACUAUUACAGGCAACUUUGCUGCGAUACUGUUGCUGGCAGCUUUGCUACAAUGCUACUGAUGGCUUUGUGCCAAUCAUAUUACCAUUACUGAUGGCUGUGUGUCGAUCAUAUCACUAUUGCUGAUGGCUUUGUGUCAAUCAUAUUACUGUACUUAUGGCUUGUAGUCAUUCUGUUUAUAGCUUAUAGCUAUCCUGUUUACGGCUCUUAGCCAUUCUGGUUAUUGGCAGCUUUGCUGCGUUACUGAUUAGUGUCGCAACCGGUGUUGAGAUUGCUGUGUUGGCUGGGUGGGUCGAUUUUAUCCCCACAUAGUGUGUUGGUUGGUACGGGUGGUGUGUUGGUUGGAUUGGGAUGUGUUGCAUAAUUGCAUUGUUGCAUUUCUAUUACUGAUUCUGUCACUGUCUUGGGCUUAGACCCACAUGUAUUCUGUUUUUAAUUUUGAUACUGUAAUGGGCUAAGGCCCACACUGCACUUUUACUAUUUUGGGCUAAAGCCACAUUGUUCUGUUACUGAAAAGGGCUCAGGCCCAGAUUGUUACUGCUUAUAUUACUGACUGAAUGAUAGGGGAUUACACACUGAGUUUUUGUAAACUCACCCCGUUUUUAACCUUUCAGGUAAUCCCCAGCGUUAGACAGUUCGGAACUGUGAGGGACUCGAAGAGGGCCACACAACUGCACAAGUUUUAUUCUGUUUUGCUCAUUUACUAAAGCACUUUGAUUUUGAUUCGGGUUGUAAUAAGGCCUCAAAAAUUUUGGAUUUUAAAUUUGGGAUUUUAUUGAUUAUGAUUCUUAUCUGCUAGAAGGAGAACCCAGUUUUCCAAAAUAAUAACUAUUUUCAAACACUACGUUUCUGCAACUCAAUUUUUAAAUAACACGUUUUCGCAAGUCAUUUGUUUUAAAUUAAUCUUCCGCAACAAUAAGGUUUUGAAGGUAACAACGUUUCUUUAAUAAACCUCGAUUGAAAAUAAGCAAACACAAACUGAGGUUUUGUACAAGUUUUAAAUGGCAAGAAGUUUGAAAUUUCAAGAAGGGUUUAUAAUGAAAACAUGGUUUUCGAAAAACUCUUCAAUGUGACACGACAGAUUUGGGCCUAACUUCUAGGUCGGGUUUGGGGUGUUACAAGUAAUCUUCAAGAGUGGUUGGUAUCCUACUUGGGAAAUCGUUACAACUUCUUCUUAAAGGGAGUGGAAUGACAGUGUUUCUUUGGGCUAUUAGUGUGGCGCAGUUGGAAGAACUAUAAUCUUUUUAUUUUUCGAGGCGAUCAAUGAAGUGUUGAUGAAAUAAUUAAAUGAUCGUAUAGCUGGGCCUUAUAAUGUUACUCUUCUCUCAAGGUAUCCCAUCUCAGGAGACAAAGUAUCAAUAUGUUUGUCAAUGGAGAAAGGUCUUGGAUCUGUCUAAAUUCUAAUGGUGUUGUGAAGUUAGAUUUCGAGUUGGUUGUUUUUGGAGGAGUAUUGAAGGAUCGUCAUGGGGGUUGGAUUCUUGGUUUCAACAGGAGUUUGGGUCACUAUUCGGUUUUCAACGCUGAAUUAUGGGGGGUUAUUGAUGGAUUAAGGAUUUUACAGAGUUAGAAUUAUAAUGCAGGCUAUUCAGUAAUCAAUCUUAAAAAUAUCUUCUUUCGUGCUUAUCAGGCGUAUUCAGCUGCACUUGUUGAAUAUCAGUCAAUAGAAGCUUGAACAUAUACCUUGUGAAGAAAACUUUGAAGCAGAUCACAUCACUAAGAUGGUUUUUAACAGAAACAAGGGAUUCAUUUAGUUAAGGAUAUCCCUUUAGAUUGGAUUAAAUUAAUGUAAUCUUCCCGUUUAUUUUUUUCACCAAAAAAAAUCUAAUAAAUCUAUAAAUAUAUUAAUUAUGUCUUUCAAUAAAAAAAUAAUUAUUCAAAAUUAUUGAUCUACAAUUUUUUUUUUACUACCUACAUCAAAUAUUCAUAUUUGAAAUAUUAUAUGUUAUCUUUGAUUUAUUAUAAUUAAAUAUAUGUUUUUCACUGCUUAGAAUAUCAUUGUGUUUUUUUUUUCUCUUUUUCGCUUUGAUAAAUAUGGUAAUUCCUUAGAAUGAACAUGAUUUUUUGCACCAUUACAUUUUUAUGUGUAUCAAAUUUUCUUGAGUGUGAUUUAAUUAAAUCAUUUUAUAUCUUUUCUUUUUGAAAAUCUAUUUAAACGAUGCACCUUUAUAUAUAUAUAUAUAUAUAUAUAUAUAUAUAUAUAUAUAUAUAAAUAUAUAUAUUUAUAUAUAGUAUGUGUAAAUCAUUAGAAAUGUAUGGAUUGUAUAAAAAGAAGAGGUCUGGUUUAAGCCCUCAGAAUAAAGUUUUGAAUGCUUCGUUUAACUUCAACCAAUGAUUUUACUAUUUUUUCCACCAUUUGUGUGCCUUUCUGGUUGGAAUCUUAGUGGAAAUACGACUGUUUUAAUGAAAUUUCAACCAACUCAGCAAAAAAAAAAAAAAAAAUGGAGAAAUAGGAAAUCAAAGAAAAUUGAAUCAAGGAAAUCUCAAAUGAACUUUUUAAUCUCAGAAAAACUGUUUUACAAAGCUAAGCUUAAGCCUAUUUAUAGUAACUAAUAGACUAAGCUAUAACAAUAAUAACGGGCCACAACAAACAACCACUAGCCCAACUACUUAACCGAAAAAGCUACCUACCACAUAACAGCCUUUGACUCACUUCUGAUCUCAUGCACAAAAUAGAGUCACAACAUUCUCCCCACUCAAGUGAAAGAAACAUAGAGGUUUUUUUACUAUAAAUUAGAUUAUAAUUUUGCCCUAUCUAUUAAAAAGAAAAAACAAGUGCCUCUAUCUUAUAUCAAAAAGUAAACUGAUCUCUUUUUUUAUAAAAAUUUCACCCAUUUAUAUAGUUAAAAAAUAGCGUGAUUGACGAAAAAAUCAGACAAUAACACGUGGUAUGCUACAUCCAUCUCAUACUAAUGUAUAAGAAAUAGUUUUCAACAGUAGAAAUAGACGAAAUUUGUAACAAAAGAACAAGUUCGCUUUUUGAUCUAACAUACAUAGAUUAAUUUGUUCACUUUUUUAAAUAGAAGGAGAAAUGCAAUCCCACAUGUAGUAUAGGGACCUCUAUGAUACUUUUACACACUACUUGUGUCGCCUAGGGUGAGCUCCCUUUCAAUAAGUUAGAAGUCAAUACCAAAAUUUUAAAAAUUUCUAAGAGCAUAUCUUUAUAUACUUUAGUAUUCCAAAAUUUCUAAGUAAUACCAAAAUUUGUAAGAAAAAUUAUUAGGAAUUUUGGUAUACCAAAAUUAGGUUACCCAAUAAUAGUCUAAAAUGUCAAAAAAAAAAUUCCAAUAUUUCUAAAGAGCAUAUCAUUAGGUAUUUUGGAAUGUAGAAAAAAUUCAAAGGAAGUAUCAAUAAUUUUAUGGAUAGUUUUUAAAUAUUGGGUAUUUAUAAUAAAAAAUUUCGUAUAUAUAAAACAUAUUUUAUAAAAUAAAUCAUGUUGCCUAAGUGCUAGAGGUGCUCAUGGGCCGGGCCGGGCCCAGAAAAAAUUUCGGCCCGUAUCAUAGCUCGGGCCCGGCCUGGCCCAAAAUAUGGGCCUGAGAUUUUGUUCAGGCCCUGCCCGGGAAAAAUCCUAAGCCCGAGCCCGGCCUGGCUCGGCCUAUUUUUUAAUAAAACACUAAAAAUUUAUUUUAAAAAUAAAAAAAUUUAAAAAAAUAUUUUAAAAAUAUUUUAAAAUUAAAAAAUUAAAAAAAUAUAUUUAUUAUAUUCGGGCAGGGCCGAGCCGGGCCCGGGGACAAAAAAGUGGUGCCCGAAGCCCGGCCCGUUUUCUAAACGGGCCUUAUUUUUUUACCCAAGCCCAUAUUUCGGGCCUAUAUUUUUACCCAAACCCUCCCAUAUUUCGGGCGGGCCGUCGGGCCGGGCGGCCCAUGAGCACCUCUACUAAGUGCUCACCAAGAUUUCUGACAAAAUAUUAAAAUAACUAAAAUAAGAGUCUACCAAAUUUUUAAAGAAAUACUAAAAUUUCUAAACUUUUUUUAUUGAAAUAAUAUGAAAAACAAUUAAUUACCUAAAUAAUAUAGAAUGAAAAUUAUUUACUAAAGUAAUAUAUUUACAUAGAGUUAUACCUGAUAAGUUUAUGACUAAGUUCUCCAAGUCAUCGUCUAGAUAUGAGAGUCUCAAUCUCGCGAGAGCAUGCUCCCUUUGCUUUGCCGAUACACCCUCUCUUGGCUAUGGUUAUUAGGUAGAGGUCUUAUACUUCUCUCUCUAUAUCUCAAGCCCAGAAAGUAUUUGAAGAACUAAGGCAAAGAUUUGAAGAACAAAAGUAAAGAUUUGAAGAACAAAGGCUAAGUUUUUAUAACUUUGAAUGAAAUUACAAAGCAAUAAAUAAGUUUCUCUCUCUCUUUCUAACUACUACCUAAUGAGAGACAUCUGAGUUUCUUAUAUAGAGACUUGGGUGCUUCAUUGAGCCCUAUCGACAGUCUGGAUAUAAGUCACGAGAGUUUUCUUUCACAAUAACCAAUAAAGAUGGGUAGGCGCAUGCUUCCUAAAGGCGCUUUUCCCAAAAAUAAAAAAUUAAAACAAAUACAGAUAAGAUGCUUUUAGCUGAGCAUCUACAACUUUUAUCUCGUGACUCUCUUCACAGUUUUAUA
RNAcentral lists this long non-coding RNA (14472 nucleotides) under Gossypium raimondii (Peruvian cotton). RNAcentral's name for it is "long non-coding RNA (GRAI_LNC005730)". The stretch from base 12703 to 12847 matches the Rfam family "MIR7502 microRNA precursor family". The record is from RNAcentral. Lineage: Eukaryota; Viridiplantae; Streptophyta; Magnoliopsida; Malvales; Malvaceae.